UGACUAAUUAUGUAUACAUUCCAAUCAGAACUGACUAGUCCAAAUGCUAUAAUGUACUGUACAUAUGAAUAUUCUCUCUUGCUCCCAUUCCCAAUUGUAUAUAAUGUAGUCAGGAUUUAGUAACAAUGAAGGUCUGUUCCUUAGUUCAUUCAGUUGUACAAUCUCCAGGUGGCAGGAACGGCCGAUCUCCAGACUGUCUAGAAUGCUGAUUUAUACUGACUGACCUUGACUUCGUGCUGAUAACGCGAAGGCUCGAGAGCUAGAGAGCCCCUCUACUGGUGAAAUAGAUAGAACGUUUAGAAAACGCUGAUGUCAUUUUCAGUUUAUAACCUGUGGAAAUAUGUGUAUGUGGCAGUACUCUCUUGCAAUAAACGCUGUUACCUGGC
Molecule: long non-coding RNA, 386 nt
Organism: Oncorhynchus tshawytscha (Chinook salmon)
Lineage: Eukaryota; Metazoa; Chordata; Actinopteri; Salmoniformes; Salmonidae
Source: Ensembl